AGCAGCCGCGGUAAUUCCAGCUCCAAUAGCGUAUAUUAAAGUUGCUGCAGUUAAAAAGCUCGUAGUUGAAUUUCGGGACCGAUAUAUCGGUCGUGCCUCGGUACGUACUGGUAUUUUCGGUUUCUCCCUUCUGACGAACCUUGAUGUCAUUAAUUUGGUGUCUUGGGGAAUCAGGACUGUUACUUUGAAAAAAUUGAGUGUUUAAAGCAGGCUCACGCUUGAAUACAUUAGCAUGGAAUAAUGAAAUAGGACGUUUGAAUUCUAUUUUGUGUUUCUAGGAUCGACGUAAUGAUUAAUAGGGAUAGUUGGGGCAUUAGUAUUCAAUUGUCAGAGGUGAAAUUCUGGAUUUAUUGAAAGUACUAACUACUGCGAAAAGCCAAUUUGCCAAGGAUGUUUUCAUUAAUCAAGAACGAAAGUUAGGGAUCGAAGACGAUCAGAUACCGUCGUAGUCGUUAACCAUAAACUAUGCCG
Molecule: ribosomal RNA, 471 nt
Filed under: uncultured Glomeraceae
Lineage: Eukaryota; Fungi; Glomeromycota; Glomeromycetes; Glomerales; Glomeraceae
Description: SSU rRNA
Rfam family: Eukaryotic small subunit ribosomal RNA
Source: RNAcentral